GACCACUGUCAAUGCAGUGUUCUUAAGUGGAUGGCGUUCUUUCUACAAGUUGUGGCACGUUCCAGUAGGGAAAGUCUUUUGCCAAGCAGGUGGGGGAAAUAAAGGUAGAUUAAUGUGCAGUAGAAAAGGAGAGAACUUUGGAAUGUGGCUCUACCUCAGGAAUACACACGGGCAUGCUGCAGCAAAGCCCUUUUCACAAUAGCCAAGACAUGGAAACAACCUACAUGUCCAUUGACAGAUGAAUGGAUUAAGAAGAUGUGGUACAUAUACGCAAUGGAAUACUACUCAGCCAUAAAAAAGAAAAAAAAUAAUGCCAUUUACAGCAACAUGGAUGGAACUAGAGACUCUCAUACUAAGUGAAUGUCUUUGUUUUCUGACUUCUGUUCCAUGCAUGCCAUGACUACUCUUGUCUCUGCUUCUGACCUUUAUGAGAAUGUCUCAAGACUCAGCCUCCAUUAGGAAUGUGUCUUUCUUGGGCUGAGCAAUGAGGACCAGGCUGAAUGCAGCUUUCUAACAUGUUCCUUGUACACCAGAUCUCUGCCAAAUAAUGGAGUCUCAGAACUGGAAGGUCUCAUCUAGGGUAGACAGUCUGUUUAAUCUCAGUUGGUCUAACUGCUAUCAAGUUCUGGUCAUCUUAGCUUGGGUAAAUGAUUGAGAACUGGUUCAGAUACUCUAUAGAGAACUCUAUUUGUCAUAUUCUAGGUCCCAAACCUUGGCUCAGUAAGACUUCAAUACACACACACACACACACAUGGAUUUUGGUUGUUCUUAUUGUUAUAUAAAUUUUGUCCUAAAGCUGUAACCAGUACAUGCUCACUAUAGUAAAAUUUGCAAAUUAUAGAAAAAUAAUAGGAAAAGAGAAAAAUUACCCCAAUUCCACCUAGAGACAAUGACUGAUUUGAGGGAUAUUUCCUUCUACUCUUUAUUUCUUAUGCAGUUUUCCUUUCUUCACAUAGUACAUUUUUGCACCCUACUUUUAAAAAUGUGAAUUAUAAGUAUUUUUCCAUUUUACCACACACUCUUUUUAAUAACAUUUUGGAUGAUUGCCUAGCAUUCCACAUAGUGCAGUGCAUUUCAGAAAGAACAUAACUUGGUGGAGGAGACUACAACAUGCUCAUAGAGUCAGCUUUGAUUGUGUUCCCAAAUGAGUAAGGCAGGGGUAUAAAACCUUAUGGAUACCACGGUGUCCUCAGAGGGUGCGAGCAGAUGUACCAUAUCUCAGCAGAGCUUCUCUUGCUCUGCACUGAUCCAUGUGAGGCACAUGGCUUCAGCUGGUACUCUCCAUAUUAGGUCUCCACAACACUUUUAUCAUCCGUUUGCAUCCUUGGAAGACUAUACACUUUUGUUGAAAAUAAUUAUUACAGCACUAAACUUUGCUGGAACCAAACUCAGCAAGAAUAAGUGAUGUACCUGCCUUGGAGGAUGUGUCAGUUAUCUGUUUAUUACUUCACAGUUAUAAAUUUGCUCUUCAUUGCCUACUCUGAGAAAGUGGAUAUGGGCCCUUUAAAUAUUUUUUCUUUGCCAGAUGGUGCCAUGUUAAACUUUGCCAAUAGAUAGUGCUUGAGAAACACUGCAGGAGGGAAGUAUUUUGCUUCCUAGUCUGGCCUGCUCCCUAGACAGGCUCCUGGAGUGCAUGGGGCUUCUGACCAGCACCUACUGUCAUAGUAGCCAGCAAUAACCAGUGGCCAGCACUUUACUCUUUCAUCUCUUCUUGGGUGACUUUGUAGUAGAAUGCCUCUAGUGAGACAUCUCCCUGUGAACAGCUUUCCCAGCACCCUAAAGAAUGGAUUUCCAGCAAAUUCCAGAAAGCAGAUUUCCAGCAUAUUUGGUGAGCAUACACUGUAGCUAUCUCUCUGCCAUUCAUUAGUCUAGUCUGUGCUCUUGCCAGUCAAGUCUGGAUUUUUUUUAGCCCUGUCUGUGGAGAGGAUGGGGUCAUACCUUGGGUACUGAAUCUCAGCCCUCUGGGCAGGAGCUGCUCCCCAUUUCCAUAUCCUUUAGAGUUCCUUUUACUCCUGAGUAGCCUAUUCCUUUUUAUGCCGAUCUCCUGAUAUAAUUAAUAGUGAUUUAUAUUAAAUAUUCCUGUUCAAAUCA
This 2091-nucleotide long non-coding RNA is filed under the name Sus scrofa (pig). Its description in RNAcentral is "lncRNA (ENSSSCG00030068832.1)". Lineage: Eukaryota; Metazoa; Chordata; Mammalia; Artiodactyla; Suidae. The record is from RNAcentral.